Molecule: ribosomal RNA, 253 nt
Filed under: uncultured bacterium
Lineage: Bacteria
Description: partial 16S ribosomal RNA
Rfam family: Bacterial small subunit ribosomal RNA
Source: RNAcentral
UACGUAGGUGGCAAGCGUUGUCCGGAAUCACUGGGCGUAAAGCGCGCGCAGGCGGCGAUCUACGUCUGGGGUGAAAGCCCGGAGCUCAACUCCGGGACUGCCUUGGAUACGGGAUCGCUUGAGGAUUGGAGAGGCAAGGGGAAUUCCACGUGUAGCGGUGAAAUGCGUAGAUAUCAGUCGGAACACCGGUGGCGAAGGCGGCUUCUUGGGCCCUACCUGACGCUGAGGCGCGAAAGCCAGGGGAGCGAACGGG